RNAcentral lists this transfer RNA (71 nucleotides) under Toxocara canis (dog roundworm). It matches the Rfam family "tRNA". Rfam says of the family: Transfer RNA (tRNA) molecules are approximately 80 nucleotides in length. Their secondary structure includes four short double-helical elements and three loops (D, anti-codon, and T loops). The record is from Rfam by way of RNAcentral. Lineage: Eukaryota; Metazoa; Nematoda; Chromadorea; Rhabditida; Toxocaridae.
GGGGCAGUAGCUCAGUGGUGGAGCUCCUGCUUCGUACGCGGAAAACCUGGGUUCGAUUCCCGGCCGCUUUA